GCCCCCGUAGCUCAAUGGACAGAGCACCUGCCUUCUAAGCCGGUUGUUGGGAGUUCGAUCCUCUCCGGGGGCG
This 73-nucleotide transfer RNA is filed under the name Anaerolineae bacterium. RNAcentral describes it as "tRNA-Arg". It matches the Rfam family "tRNA". Rfam says of the family: Transfer RNA (tRNA) molecules are approximately 80 nucleotides in length. Their secondary structure includes four short double-helical elements and three loops (D, anti-codon, and T loops). Lineage: Bacteria; Bacillati; Chloroflexota; Anaerolineae. The record is from RNAcentral.